CUUGGCGUUGGGGCGACGCGCCAGGAUGGCGUUGCCCACCGCGUGGAUCAGGUGCGUCUUGCCCAGGCCCACUCCGCCGUA
This 81-nucleotide antisense RNA is filed under the name Burkholderiales bacterium. RNAcentral describes it as "AsdA". It matches the Rfam family "antisense RNA of dnaA mRNA". The record is from RNAcentral. Lineage: Bacteria; Pseudomonadati; Pseudomonadota; Betaproteobacteria; Burkholderiales.